This 253-nucleotide ribosomal RNA is filed under the name uncultured bacterium. RNAcentral describes it as "partial 16S ribosomal RNA". It matches the Rfam family "Bacterial small subunit ribosomal RNA", at positions 524 to 776 of the family's 1533-position model. The record is from RNAcentral.
GACGUAGGGCGCGAGCGUUGUCCGGAUUUAUUGGGCGUAAAGAGCUCGUAGGCGGCUUGUUGCGUCGGCUGUGAAAACCCGUGGCUUAACUGCGGGCUUGCAGCUGAUACGGGCGGGCUGGAGUUCGGUAGGGGAGACUGGAAUUCCUGGUGUAGCGGUGAAAUGCGCAGAUAUCAGGAGGAACACCGGUGGCGAAGGCGGGUCUCUGGGCCGAUACUGACGCUGAGGAGCGAAAGCGUGGGUAGCAAACGGG